GACGAACGCUGGCGGCGUGCUUAACACAUGCAAGUCGAACGGAAAGGCCCUGCUUUUGUGGGGUGCUCGAGUGGCGAACGGGUGAGUAACACGUGAGUAACCUGCCCUUUACUUUGGGAUAACUUCAGGAAACUGGGGCUAAUACCGGAUAGGAGCUCCUGCUGCAUGGUGGGGGUUGGAAAGUUUCGGCGGUGGGGGGUGGACUCGCGGCUUAUCAGUUUGUUGGUGGGGUAGUGGCUUACCAAGGCUUUGACGGGUAGCCGGCCUGAGGGGGUGAGGGGCCACAUUGGGACUGAGAUAGGGCCCAGACUCAUACGGGGGGGAGCAGUGGGGAAUAUUGCAAAAUGGGCGGAAGCCUGAUGCAGCAACGCCGCGUGCGGGAUGACGGCCUUCGGGUUGUAAACCGCUUUCGCCUGUGACGAAGCGUGAGUGACGGUAAUGGGUAAAGAAGCACCGGCUAACUACGUG
Molecule: ribosomal RNA, 468 nt
Filed under: uncultured bacterium
Lineage: Bacteria
Description: partial 16S ribosomal RNA
Rfam family: Bacterial small subunit ribosomal RNA
Source: RNAcentral